CAUGUGGUUUAAUUCGAUGCAACGCGAAGAACCUUACCUACUCUUGACAUCCAGAGAACUUUCCAGAGAUGGAUUGGUGCCUUCGGGAACUCUGAGACAGGUGCUGCAUGGCUGUCGUCAGCUCGUGUUGUGAAAUGUUGGGUUAAGUCCCGCAACGAGCGCAACCCUUAUCCUUUGUUGCCAGCGGUUCGGCCGGGAACUCAAAGGAGACUGCCAGUGAUAAACUGGAGGAAGGUGGGGAUGACGUCAAGUCAUCAUGGCCCUUACGAGUAGGGCUACACACGUGCUACAAUGGCGUAUACAAAGAGAAGCGACCUCGCGAGAGCAAGCGGACCUCAUAAAGUACGUCGUAGUCCGGAUUGGAGUCUGCAACUCGACUCCAUGAAGUCGGAAUCGCUAGUAAUCGUAGAUCAGAAUGCUACGGUGAAUACGUUCCCGGGCCUUGUACACACCGCCCGUA
RNAcentral lists this ribosomal RNA (460 nucleotides) under Serratia marcescens. RNAcentral's name for it is "bacterial SSU rRNA". It matches the Rfam family "Bacterial small subunit ribosomal RNA", at positions 938 to 1398 of the family's 1533-position model. Lineage: Bacteria; Pseudomonadati; Pseudomonadota; Gammaproteobacteria; Enterobacterales; Yersiniaceae. The record is from RNAcentral.